GAUGAAGAACGUAGCGAAAUGCGAUAAGUAAUGUGAAUUGCAGAAUUCAGUGAAUCAUCGAAUCUUUGAACGCACAUUGCGCCCGCCAGUAUUCUGGCGGGCAUGCCUGUUCGAGCGUCAUUUCAACCAUCAAGCCCCGGGCUUGUGUUGGGGACCUGCGGCUGCCGCAGGCCCUGAAAAGCAGUGGCGGGCUCGCUGUCACACCGAGCGUAGUAGCAUACAUCUCGCUCUGGGCGUGCUGCGGGUUCCGGCCGUUAAACCACCUUUUAACCCAAGGUUGACCUCGGAUCAGGUAGGAAGACCCGCUGAACUUAAGCAUAUCAUAAGCGGAGGA
This 334-nucleotide unclassified non-coding RNA is filed under the name soil metagenome. Its description in RNAcentral is "partial contains 5.8S ribosomal RNA, internal transcribed spacer 2, and large subunit ribosomal RNA". The stretch from base 1 to 120 matches the Rfam family "5.8S ribosomal RNA", at positions 35 to 154 of the family's 154-position model. The record is from RNAcentral.